CUGUAAUGAUGACCACUUAGGACACCUUUGGAUUAAUGAUGAAAAGAUGUACUUUUCUGAGCAGC
This is a small nucleolar RNA of Rhinichthys klamathensis goyatoka, 65 nucleotides long. RefSeq annotates it as small nucleolar RNA SNORD58. The transcript has a single exon. Lineage: Eukaryota; Metazoa; Chordata; Actinopteri; Cypriniformes; Leuciscidae. The record is from RefSeq and is a predicted model, not a curated record.